This 460-nucleotide ribosomal RNA is filed under the name uncultured bacterium. Its description in RNAcentral is "partial 16S ribosomal RNA". It matches the Rfam family "Bacterial small subunit ribosomal RNA", at positions 338 to 795 of the family's 1533-position model. The record is from RNAcentral.
CCUACGGGAGGCUGCAGUGAGGAAUAUUGGUCAAUGGACGCAAGUCUGAACCAGCCAAGCCGCGUGCAGGAAUAAGGCUCUAUGAGUUGUAAACUUCUUUUGUCCGAGGGCAAACGCAGGUUCGCGUACCUGUCUGAAAGUAUCGUACGAAAAAGGCUCGGCUAACUCCGUGCCAGCAGCCGCGGUAAUACGGAGGAUUCCAGCGUUAUCCGGAUUUAUUGGGUUUAAAGGGUGCGGAGGCCGUCGGAUAAGUGAGAGGGUAAAUCCCGAGGCUCAACUUCCGAAUUGCCUUUGAUACUGUUGGGCUAGAGAGUAGGUGCGGUAGGCGGAAUGUAUGGUGUAGCGGUGAAAUGCUUAGAGAUCACACAGAACACCGAUUGCGAAGGCAGCUUACCAGCCUACUUCUGACGCUGAGGCACGAAAGCGUGGGGAGCGAACAGGAUUAGAUACCCCAGUAGUC